RNAcentral lists this ribosomal RNA (409 nucleotides) under uncultured bacterium. Its description in RNAcentral is "bacterial SSU rRNA". It matches the Rfam family "Bacterial small subunit ribosomal RNA", at positions 123 to 518 of the family's 1533-position model. The record is from RNAcentral.
AAUCUGCCCCCCGGCCCGGGACUAGCCCAGGGAAACCUGGAUUAAUACCGGAUGAGACGGGACCCGCGAUGGCGGGACCCGGGAAAGGCGCUGCGGCGCCGCCGGGGGAUGAGUCUGCGUCCCAUUAGCUAGACGCGGGGUAACGGCCCACCGUGGCGACGAUGGGUAGCCGGCCUGAGAGGGUGGACGGCCACAUUGGAACUGAGACACGGUCCAGACUCCUACGGGAGGCAGCAGCUAAGAAUCUUCCGCAAUGGGCGAAAGCCUGACGGAGCGACGCCCGCGUGAACGAAGAAGGCCGUGAGGUUGUAAAGUUCUUUUCGGGAGGGGGAACAACCGUGGCAGGGAAUGGCCGCGGGAUGACGUGAAUCCCGGAAUAAGCCCCGGCUAACUACGUGCCAGCCGCAGC